GAUGAACGCUGGCGGCGUGCUUAACACAUGCAAGUCGAACGAUGAAGCCCAGCUUGCUGGGUGGAUUAGUGGCGAACGGGUGAGUAACACGUGAGUAACCUGCCCUUAACUCUGGGAUAAGCCUGGGCAACUGGGUCUAAUACCGGAUAGGAGCGUCCACCGCAUGGUGGGUGUUGGAAAGAUUUAUCGGUUUUGGAUGGACUCGCGGCCUAUCAGCUUGUUGGUGAGGUAAUGGCUCACCAAGGCGACGACGGGUAGCCGGCCUGAGAGGGUGACCGGCCACACUGGGACUGAGACACGGCCCAGACUCCUACGGGAGGCAGCAGUGGGGAAUAUUGCACAAUGGGCGCAAGCCUGAUGCAGCGACGCCGCGUGAGGGAUGACGGCCUUCGUGGUGUAAACCUCUUUCAGUAGGGAAGAAGCGAAAGUGACGGUACCUUCAGAAGAAGCACCGGCUAACUACGUG
Molecule: ribosomal RNA, 466 nt
Filed under: uncultured bacterium
Lineage: Bacteria
Description: partial 16S ribosomal RNA
Rfam family: Bacterial small subunit ribosomal RNA
Source: RNAcentral